GGCUGCGUAGCUCAACUGAAUAGAGUGUCUCACUACGGAUGAGAAGGUUAGGGGUUUGAAUCCCUUCGCGGUCACAA
Molecule: transfer RNA, 77 nt
Filed under: Bacteroidetes bacterium RIFCSPLOWO2_12_FULL_35_15
Lineage: Bacteria; Pseudomonadati; Bacteroidota
Description: tRNA-Arg
Rfam family: tRNA
About the family: Transfer RNA (tRNA) molecules are approximately 80 nucleotides in length. Their secondary structure includes four short double-helical elements and three loops (D, anti-codon, and T loops). Further hydrogen bonds mediate the characteristic L-shaped molecular structure. tRNAs have two regions of fundamental functional importance: the anti-codon, which is responsible for specific mRNA codon recognition, and the 3' end, to which the tRNAs corresponding amino acid is attached (by aminoacyl-tRNA synthetases). tRNAs cope with the degeneracy of the genetic code in two manners: having more than one tRNA (with a specific anti-codon) for a particular amino acid; and 'wobble' base-pairing, i.e. permitting non-standard base-pairing at the 3rd anti-codon position.
Source: RNAcentral